GAAAACGGAAUAUUGAAGAGAUGGGGAAAUGGUGUGACCUGCAGUUGCCAAUUCAUGAUUUGAUGGCUUCGAGGCUCAGCCUCAGUGCUAUAGUACUGACAAGGAAGCUGAGGUUUGGAGGUUAAGCGACUUGUCGCCUGCUGAUGAGUGAUGACAAUCAGGCUGUCUGCCUCGGGCCACACCCUGAGGCUGCUAGGCAGUGUCUGCUGAGACAAGGCCAAGGCGGGCUGCUCGCUCUGGGCAGACCCACUGGGGGCCUGUGGAGCUGUCUGCAGUCAGCAGAGCUGGUAGUGAGCUCUCUCUCCCCAGCGGGGAAGUCAUCAAGAAAUCUCCCAUUUUCAUCUUCCUGCAGGCACGUCUCCCUAGAGAGGAGUCUCCCUGGGAGGAUGCUAGGUCCCCUGUGGACCCUGGGAGUUCCUGGAGGAUGUCCCUGCUCCGUGACUACUGGCGAAGUUCCUCCGGGGUUAUCCGGUCCUCGCCAAGCCCACCUCUUGCCUUUCAUUUCAACUCUGAAAUAUGCACCAGGCAAAUUCCACAAACAUUGACGGAACCCUUGCCAAGGUCCAGAACCAUGUUGAGGAAUUGGUCCACAUUUCCUCAUUUAACCCUACUGUAAUCCUCAGAGGCCACUUUAUCAUUUCCAUUUUAUAGAAAUCCAGAGGAGUGAAGAGGACUGUUCCAGGCAACUUGGCUAAUAAAUAAAAUUAUUACGCCUGCAAUUUAUUGGGCAUCUACGA
This 737-nucleotide long non-coding RNA is filed under the name Homo sapiens (human). Its description in RNAcentral is "long independently transcribed non-coding RNA 2279 (LINC02279)". The record is from RNAcentral. Lineage: Eukaryota; Metazoa; Chordata; Mammalia; Primates; Hominidae.